CAGAACGAACGCUGGCGGCGCGUCUUAAGCAUGCAAGUCGGACGGCAAGGGUUGUGCUUGCACAACUCCUAGAGUGGCGGACUGGUGAGUAACGCGUGGGUGACCUGCCCUCGAGAUGGGGAUAGCCAUUAGAAAUAGUGGAUAAUACCGAAUACGCUCAUGACCCUGUGGGAUAUGAGGAAAACAGGCUACGGCCUGGCUCGAGGAUGGGCCCGCGUCCCAUUAGCUAGUUGGUGAGGUAACGGCCCACCAAGGCGACGAUGGGUAUCCGGCCUGAGAGGGUGUACGGACACAUUGGGACUGAGAUACGGCCCAAACUCCUACGGGAGGCAGCAGCUAAGAAUAUUCCGCAAUGGACGAAAGUCUGACGGAGCGACGCCGCGUGGAUGAAGAAAGGCCGGAAGGUUGUAAAAUCCUUUUGCUGAUGAAGAAUAAGUGUGGUAGGGAAUGACCGCAUGAUGACAUUAGUCGGUGAAUAAGCCCCGGCUAACUACGUGCCAGCCGCCGC
RNAcentral lists this ribosomal RNA (508 nucleotides) under uncultured bacterium. RNAcentral's name for it is "bacterial SSU rRNA". It matches the Rfam family "Bacterial small subunit ribosomal RNA", at positions 25 to 518 of the family's 1533-position model. The record is from RNAcentral.